RNAcentral lists this ribosomal RNA (253 nucleotides) under uncultured bacterium. RNAcentral's name for it is "partial 16S ribosomal RNA". It matches the Rfam family "Bacterial small subunit ribosomal RNA", at positions 524 to 776 of the family's 1533-position model. The record is from RNAcentral.
GACGUAGGGAGCAAGCGUUGUCCGGAAUUAUUGGGCGUAAAGAGCUUGUAGGCGGUUUGUCGCGUCUGCUGUGAAAAUCCGGGGCUCAACCCCGGACUUGCAGUGGGUACGGGCAGACUAGAGUGUGGUAGGGGAGACUGGAAUUCCUGGUGUAGCGGUGGAAUGCGCAGAUAUCAGGAGGAACACCGGUGGCGAAGGCGGGACUCUGGGCCGAUACUGACGCUGAGGAGCGAAAGCGUGGGGAGCGAACAGG